Molecule: ribosomal RNA, 497 nt
Filed under: uncultured bacterium
Lineage: Bacteria
Description: partial 16S ribosomal RNA
Rfam family: Bacterial small subunit ribosomal RNA
Source: RNAcentral
GAUGAACGCUGGCGGCGUGCCUAAUACAUGCAAGUCGAACGCAUAGCGAAAGGUGCUUGCACCUUUCACGUGAGUGGCGAACGGGUGAGUAACACGUGGACAACCUGCCUCAAGGCUGGGGAUAACAUUUGGAAACAGAUGCUAAUACCGAAUAAAACUUAGUGUCGCAUGACACAAAGUUAAAAGGCGCUUCGGCGUCACCUAGAGAUGGAUCCGCGGUGCAUUAGUUAGUUGGUGGGGUAAAGGCCUACCAAGACAAUGAUGCAUAGCCGAGUUGAGAGACUGAUCGGCCACAUUGGGACUGAGACACGGCCCAAACUCCUACGGGAGGCUGCAGUAGGGAAUCUUCCACAAUGGGCGAAAGCCUGAUGGAGCAACGCCGCGUGUGUGAUGAAGGCUUUCGGGUCGUAAAGCACUGUUGUAUGGGAAGAACAGCUAGAAUAGGAAAUGAUUUUAGUUUGACGGUACCAAACCAGAAAGGGACGGCUAAAUACGUG